Molecule: long non-coding RNA, 1437 nt
Organism: Benincasa hispida (wax gourd)
Lineage: Eukaryota; Viridiplantae; Streptophyta; Magnoliopsida; Cucurbitales; Cucurbitaceae
Source: RefSeq, a predicted model, not a curated record
CACCAUUUUACCAUCCUCAACUCCCUAGUAUUAUGAUGCGUUUCAUUACUAUCCCCUUUACUCACCCAUUUCUCUUUCUCUCUCUUCUCAUCUUUUUCUUCUUUCGCAGUUCAGUUCGUCUUCCUUCAUCUGGUUAAUUUUUCAUUCUUUUCAAUGAUAUGGGCUCGAUUUCAUGGAAAUGGUUCGCAUGGCAGAUCUAUUGUGUGAGUUUUUUUCAUUCGAAUUUUUUUGUUUCUAUUUUAUGACUAGGAUUUAUGGUUCUUCUUCGUGUCUGCUUCUUUUUUCAGUCGUUAUAUGUUUUUCUUAUUCGUCUCUAAUAUUUUUUGUUUUCACUUCUAUUGCGUUUUUUUCCUCGUCUCAAAGGUAACUUUUUCCCACUUGUAUUAUGUUUACCCUAUUAUUUUUCUCCUAUUGAUAUCUUCUUCUUCUUUGUGUGUGCUACCUCUUUCGAUCACUAUAUGUGUUUAUUCUUCGUUCUUUCGCUUCUGUUAUGUUAUUACAACCAAGUCUCUGUCAUUUUGUUUCCAUUUCUAUUAUGUUUACUUCUUCAUCUUCGUUCUUUCUUCCCCUGUUGAUAUUUGUUCUGAUUCAUCUCUAUCUUUCCUACUUUUUUUUCCAAAUCUCCUUUUUCCGCUUCAAUAAUAAACCAUGUGUCCUUCACUUGUCCUUUUCUUUGCUUUUCCAUCAAAAAUUGGAUAUUGAAAAACAUUGAAAAGAAGAUAGACUGUGGUAUAAUGAUGGCACAUAAUAUAAAUUUAUAUUUUGAAAAUAAGAUAGACUAUGGUAUAAUGAUUGCACAUAGACUAUGGUAUAAUGAUUGCACAUACUAUAAUGUGUAAAAUUUUGAAAUAUAAAUUUGAUUACACAUAACGUGAAAAAAAGAUAGACUAUGGUAUAAUGUUAGGAGUUUUGAUUGGGUCAACAAUUUAUUAAAAACUCAUAAAUAAAACUCAUAAUGUUAAUAGACUAGAAUUUAUUAAUACCUAUAAGCCUUUAAAAAACCAUAAUCGGAUGAUAGAACAACAACCAGCAUAAGAUUGGCCAGACUCGUUGUGUGGCAAACGGAGAAGUACAAGCUGGAAUUUGGAUGUCGGAAGGAGGUAGUUAAUGUCAUAUUUAGUAUUGAGGGGUUGAUUGAGGAUGAUAGACACGACCUAGUUGAUAUCAUUGGUACAGACAUACAAAAGGCGGACAUCUUCCUCGUUGUACCAGAAGAGGCAUAGAAAUGGUAUUGCAUCUGCCUACUUGCUCAGACCCUUUAGAUUGACCACCUAAUAUUUCAACCCAAAAAUGUAUAUUUUGUGAAUUUGAUUUUUGAAACGGGCACAUAUUUUGCUGUUCGAUAUUACUUUUGUGAUGUUCAAAAGAAUGUAACUUUACUAUAUUAACACACUGUAAACAUCAUUAUGAAAUGAAAGGUAAAUAUUCUAUGCACAA